GCCUCUAAGUCCCUGCUACUGGGGAGGCUAAGGUUGGUGGAUCACCUUAAUUCAGGAAUUCUGAGCUAUAGUAGGGCUAAAGUUGAUUGGGUAUGAGUAUUAAGUCUAGUACCAAUAUGGUGAGCUGCUGGGAGCAUAGGUUCACCAGGCUGCUUAAGGAGGGAUGAACCAGCCCAGGCUGGAAAAAUGGAAUAGAUUAAAGCUUCCAUGCCAAUCAGCACUGGGACAAGGCUCAUGAAUGGCAGCUAUACUUCUAGCCUGGAGGGGUAGGGAUAUCCAACUC
This 283-nucleotide signal recognition particle RNA is filed under the name Vombatus ursinus (common wombat). RNAcentral's name for it is "Metazoan signal recognition particle RNA (ENSVURG00010003600.1)". It matches the Rfam family "Metazoan signal recognition particle RNA". From Rfam's summary of the family: The signal recognition particle (SRP) is a universally conserved ribonucleoprotein. The record is from Rfam by way of RNAcentral. Lineage: Eukaryota; Metazoa; Chordata; Mammalia; Diprotodontia; Vombatidae.